ACAACAUAAAAAGUUAGACCCUUCCAAAGGAUUCAACUGGUGGUAUAGCAAGGAAGCAUACCUGCUAACUUAUAAACACAAGUUGCAACCAGUGAAAGGUGAGAAGUUCUGGAAAGUGGACUCAUCUCAAGCAAUGGAACCACCUGAGUUAGUCAAGAUGGAUAGGCGACCUAAAAUUAAAAGAAAAAGAUGAGACUAUCAAAAGGCAAGGUGAGUAGGGUGUUUCCAGGAAAGGGAGAGUUAUGACAUGCAGUAACUAUGGAGAGCCUAAUCAUAAUGCUAGAGGUUGUGAGAAGGUUUGUGAGAAGGUAAUGGUUAUUUUUUCUAACUUAUUUGUAUCCUAUUUAGUAAUAUGUAACUUACUUUUUUAUGUUUACAUAAUAGCCACACAUGAAAAAGAUGACAAGAACAAGCAACACAAUAUUGGUUGAUGAAGAAGAAAUAGAACCCACUGCACUUGAAGAUAGUUAACCUACACAGUCUAAUCAACAAAGUCAAAGCUCAAACUUUGUGUUUAUGCCUGCACCAAGUAUUUACACUCAGUCCAACAUUAAAUUUUUGGACUUUGAGUCUCCAGAUCAUAUCGAGAUCCAGCUUUAAGGCCAACAAUUGUAUCAGAAGUAGGAACAAGACUUCAAACAAGGAAGAAUUAUCUCAACCUUCAAGAUUAAGGGCAAUAACAUUCACAGGCUGUCAUGAUGGUGUUAGUGUUCCAUCAAACCUGCAUUUCAAACCAAUAGGCCUCGGAUGGAAGAGAGCCUUUAGUGUUGUGUGGUGAUUUAGUCAUUGUAUUUUAUUUACAUGUCGCUAGUUAAUUGUCAUACCCCUUUUUCACCAACUUCAAUAAACCCUCUUAUAAAUAAUAAAAAAAAUUUGAAGCUCAAAAGAGUUUUUAAUUAAAAAGUGACAAAAUUAUGUUCAAAAGAAAAUAACUCACAGUCGUCACUUGACAUUGAUUUUAGUAUGCCAAGUCACCAUUUUUUAAAGUGUUUUUUCUUUUAUAACACUUUGGACUCCAAACUAAGUCUGCACCAGAGAUUCGAGUAAAAGAGUUCAUUUGACUCGGGAGAAGGUGUUAGGCAUUCCCCAAGUCCUGUAAAUAAUACAGUUGCAUACUUGAUCUAGUCGACUUUUAAAAUACUCAAAUUGAGAUAAAAACAAAAAUAAAAAAGAAAAACGAACACAGAAGAGGCUCGAGGUCGUUCCCGAAGAAAGUAAAAUUAAAAAUAAAAAUACUAGGCCUCCAAUACAAGUGCUUCGGGGCAUACACCAGAAAAAUUAUAUACAAAUCACUCGGGACAUUCCCCGAACAAAUUUAACUUAGGGAACGACCUCUCACCUCAAAAGAAACUAAAACACGAACAUCCUAAAUAUUUACCUACCCAAAUAUGAUCGACCUAAAUAUGCUUCUAACGGACAUUAAAAAAAGGUAGAUAAAACAAUAAUCAUGAUAAUCCUAAACAUUUGUUCAAUUUUGGACACUAGGCCCCGUAUCUGUUUGGCUUUUACCCAACCCAAGACCAUCUAUAUUUCCAAUUAAAUUUCUUUCAUAAAAGCCAUGCCAAUUCUCAAUUGCACGAUGCGUUCAAGACACUUACCAAACAGAAGCUAGUAAUCAAAUGAUAGCAAAUUCAUCUUUUUUUACUCUCAACCUAAUUGCCAACUUCACCUCACAAAUAGAUGAUAUAGUCCACACAACAUUUCAAAUCAAGCUAGUCACUAGGCCACUUUACACUAUUAAUGGGUUAAUGAACGGAUUUUAGUGUUGUUCUCGAAUGAAGUUAUAGAUCAAAAUGGAAGCUCAACAAUCAAACCAACUGAAGAGAAUAACAAACUAGAACAAACAAAUAGCAUUCAUGUCAUCAAAAAUCAAUCACAAGCACGCGCACAAGAUCUAAAGCGAGAACAAAGUGAGAAAUGAACCUCAAAAGGAUUUAUCAGAUUUCUUUUGACAAUUGAAAGUUGAAUAAGGCCAUUAAAUCUAGCAAAUCUCGGCACAAACAGGGAUGGAACAUUGUAGCCGGAAAUUACUCUGCAAACAUCGAAACUUGGACGAGUGACAGACUUAAACCAACUCAAACGAACUCCAACCACCCUCAAACUUGAUUGAAUUCUGUGGUUUUAAUAUCAGAAAUCAGAAUAUGAAAAAUCUCGUUCGUUCCCGUCCUCUGUUUUUGGUGUUGUGUGUGUGCGCGAGUGGUGAGGAGCGACUGGUUUUUUGGUGUAAAGGUGAAGAGUUUCAGAGAAAGGGGUCGCUGGUAGUGUGGACCGCGGUGGUGAGCGGCUGGUUGCUGAAGAUUGUUGUCGUACGUCCGGCGAGCUUAGUGGCGCGGGGGCGUGGCUGGUGAGGGGACGGCAGUGGAGUGUGUUCUAAGAUGUUGUGUUGGUUAAAGAUGAAGGUCAAGAGGGGGUGGCGAUAGCUGACUUUUGGUUGAUGAAGAAGGUGAGCCACUGGAGGUUUUUUUUAGGGUUACGUAGUCUAAUAUGUCUAGUUUCUUUGGAGGAGAUGAAGAUUUAGGAUUUUAUGGGUUUAGAUUUUAGGGUGUAACUU
RNAcentral lists this long non-coding RNA (2551 nucleotides) under Nicotiana benthamiana. RNAcentral's name for it is "long non-coding RNA (NBEN_LNC009321)". The record is from RNAcentral. Lineage: Eukaryota; Viridiplantae; Streptophyta; Magnoliopsida; Solanales; Solanaceae.